This 684-nucleotide ribosomal RNA is filed under the name Bacillus cereus. RNAcentral's name for it is "bacterial SSU rRNA". It matches the Rfam family "Bacterial small subunit ribosomal RNA", at positions 551 to 1236 of the family's 1533-position model. Lineage: Bacteria; Bacillati; Bacillota; Bacilli; Caryophanales; Bacillaceae. The record is from RNAcentral.
UAUUGGGGCGUAAGCGCGCGCAGGUGGUUUCUUAAGUCUGAUGUGAAAGCCCACGGCUCAACCGUGGAGGGUCAUUGGAAACUGGGAGACUUGAGUGCAGAAGAGGAAAGUGGAAUUCCAUGUGUAGCGGUGAAAUGCGUAGAGAUAUGGAGGAACACCAGUGGCGAAGGCGACUUUCUGGUCUGUAACUGACACUGAGGCGCGAAAGCGUGGGGAGCAAACAGGAUUAGAUACCCUGGUAGUCCACGCCGUAAACGAUGAGUGCUAAGUGUUAGAGGGUUUCCGCCCUUUAGUGCUGAAGUUAACGCAUUAAGCACUCCGCCUGGGGAGUACGGCCGCAAGGCUGAAACUCAAAGGAAUUGACGGGGGCCCGCACAAGCGGUGGAGCAUGUGGUUUAAUUCGAAUCAACGCGAAGAACCUUACCAGGUCUUGACAUCCUCUGAAAACCCUAGAGAUAGGGCUUCUCCUUCGGGAGCAGAGUGACAGGUGGUGCAUGGUUGUCGUCAGCUCGUGUCGUGAGAUGUUGGGUUAAGUCCCGCAACGAGCGCAACCCUUGAUCUUAGUUGCCAUCAUUAAGUUGGGCACUCUAAGGUGACUGCCGGUGACAAACCGGAGGAAGGUGGGGAUGACGUCAAAUCAUCAUGCCCCUUAUGACCUGGGCUACACACGUGCUACAAUGGACG